This 628-nucleotide ribosomal RNA is filed under the name Pseudomonas aeruginosa. RNAcentral describes it as "bacterial SSU rRNA". It matches the Rfam family "Bacterial small subunit ribosomal RNA", at positions 56 to 678 of the family's 1533-position model. The record is from RNAcentral. Lineage: Bacteria; Pseudomonadati; Pseudomonadota; Gammaproteobacteria; Pseudomonadales; Pseudomonadaceae.
UGCAAGUCGAGCGGAUGAAGGGAGCUUGCUCCUGGAUUCAGCGGCGGACGGGUGAGUAAUGCCUAGGAAUCUGCCUGGUAGUGGGGGAUAACGUCCGGAAACGGGCGCUAAUACCGCAUACGUCCUGAGGGAGAAAGUGGGGGAUCUUCGGACCUCACGCUAUCAGAUGAGCCUAGGUCGGAUUAGCUAGUUGGUGGGGUAAAGGCCUACCAGGGCGACCAUCCGUAACUGGUCUGAGAGGAUGAUCAGUCACACUGGAACUGAGACACGGUCCAGACUCCUACGGGAGGCAGCAUUGGGGAAUAUUGGACAAUGGGCGAAAGCCUGAUCCAGCCAUGCCGCGUGUGUGAAGAAGGUCUUCGGAUUGUAAAGCACUUUAAGUUGGGAGGAAGGGCAGUAAGUUAAUACCUUGCUGUUUUGACGUUACCAACAGAAUAAGCACCGGCUAACUUCGUGCCAGCAACCGCGGUAAUACGAAGGGUGCAAGCGUUAAUCGGAAUUACUGGGCGUAAAGCGCGCGUAGGUGGUUCACCAAGUUGGAUGUGAAAUCCCCGGGCUCAACCUGGGAACUGCAUCCAAAACUACUGAGCUAGAGUACGGUAGAGGGUGGGUGGAAUUUCCUGUGUAG